UUCACAUUUUGUUCAUAUGAGAUGUUAUAUUUACCAGUUACUGCAUUAUAUUUACCACUAUUGCAAGAUGUUCGUUUAGGAAUUACUACUGUUUUGUUUAUCUGGAAUGUUGUGUGGGAGUCCAUCUGGAAUUGCUGGUCUGCAGUAAAUUUGUAAGGUGAUGAAGAUCAAUGAAUCAGAAAAUGUUUUGCAUUGGUGGUGAAUGUUCUGACAGUUUUAACAGUCGUGAUGUGUUGCAUUUCACUUCCACGCAUCACGUAGAAGUUGGUGACCUGAUACAAUGAACAUGGAAAAAUCACCUGCGUGCACGCUAUCUUUAUAAUUUUUGAAUAGUUUUGCGUUUAUUGAUGAGUCCGCAAACUCUUAGCGGAUUUCCUCCUUUAGAAACCGCCUGUCGACGAUUUGACAGCCUCACACAAUUAAAGAACGUAUGCCAAAAAGCCAAAGUGAGCUCUUCCGAGCAGAAAAGUGACGGCGUAUCCAUUUAAUUGAAAAUAGUCACAAGACAACGCACAAUUAGCGUCCUUGUCUCAGUGGAGAAAUUUUGCCGUGGAACUUAUAACCGAAAUACCAUUGCAGCUGUUCAAAAAAAGAAAAGUGUAUUAUCAUACAGAUGUUGACUAGCUAACAAUCCAGAGACACGUCAACUUGCAAAAUUUCUAGAUGUGUGUGAAGCGCAAUCAGCAUCCUUGUUGAACUGUGAACC
Molecule: long non-coding RNA, 706 nt
Organism: Daphnia carinata
Lineage: Eukaryota; Metazoa; Arthropoda; Branchiopoda; Diplostraca; Daphniidae
Exons: 5
Source: RefSeq, a predicted model, not a curated record